RNAcentral lists this ribosomal RNA (435 nucleotides) under uncultured bacterium. RNAcentral's name for it is "bacterial SSU rRNA". It matches the Rfam family "Bacterial small subunit ribosomal RNA", at positions 355 to 796 of the family's 1533-position model. The record is from RNAcentral.
UCGAGGAUCUUCGGCAAUGGGCGCAAGCCUGACCGAGCGACGCCGCGUGUGCGAUGAAGGCCUUCGGGUUGUAAAGCACUGUCGGGGAGAAGAAAGCCUGGAAACGGGUUGAUCGACUCCCGGAGGAAGCACGGGCUAAGUUCGUGCCAGCAGCCGCGGUAAGACGAACCGUGCGAACGUUGUUCGGAAUCACUGGGCUUAAAGGGCGCGUAGGCGGGCUAUCAAGUCAAGGGUGAAAUCCUGCGGCUCAACCGUAGAAGAGCCCCUGAUACUGAUGGUCUGGAGGGAGGUAGGGGCGUGUGGAACUUCCGGUGGAGCGGUGAAAUGCGUAGAGAUCGGAAGGAACGCCGGUGGCGAAAGCGACACGCUGGACCUCUUCUGACGCUGAGGCGCGAAAGCCAGGGGAGCAAACGGGAUUAGAUACCCCCGUAGUCC